GUCUAUAGCCAUACCACCUUGAACAAUCCCAAUCUUGUCUGAUAUAGGAAGCUAAGCAGAGUUGGGCCUGGUUAGUAUUUGGAUAGGAAAAUAUUAUUCCAUCAUUAAAA
Spermophilus dauricus (Daurian ground squirrel) is the source of this 110-nucleotide ribosomal RNA. Lineage: Eukaryota; Metazoa; Chordata; Mammalia; Rodentia; Sciuridae. The record is from Ensembl.